RNAcentral lists this ribosomal RNA (2061 nucleotides) under Shigella flexneri. Its description in RNAcentral is "partial 23S ribosomal RNA". It matches the Rfam family "Bacterial large subunit ribosomal RNA", at positions 370 to 2419 of the family's 2925-position model. Lineage: Bacteria; Pseudomonadati; Pseudomonadota; Gammaproteobacteria; Enterobacterales; Enterobacteriaceae. The record is from RNAcentral.
GCCCCGUACACAAAAAUGCACAUACUGUGAGCUCGAUGAGUAGGGCGGGACACGUGGUAUCCUGUCUGAAUAUGGGGGGACCAUCCUCCAAGGCUAAAUACUCCUGACUGACCGAUAGUGAACCAGUACCGUGAGGGAAAGGCGAAAAGAACCCCGGCGAGGGGAGUGAAAAAGAACCUGAAACCGUGUACGUACAAGCAGUGGGAGCACGCUUAGGCGUGUGACUGCGUACCUUUUGUAUAAUGGGUCAGCGACUUAUAUUCUGUAGCAAGGUUAACCGAAUAGGGGAGCCGAAGGGAAACCGAGUCUUAACUGGGCGUUAAGUUGCAGGGUAUAGACCCGAAACCCGGUGAUCUAGCCAUGGGCAGGUUGAAGGUUGGGUAACACUAACUGGAGGACCGAACCGACUAAUGUUGAAAAAUUAGCGGAUGACUUGUGGCUGGGGGUGAAAGGCCAAUCAAACCGGGAGAUAGCUGGUUCUCCCCGAAAGCUAUUUAGGUAGCGCCUCGUGAAUUCAUCUCCGGGGGUAGAGCACUGUUUCGGCAAGGGGGUCAUCCCGACUUACCAACCCGAUGCAAACUGCGAAUACCGGAGAAUGUUAUCACGGGAGACACACGGCGGGUGCUAACGUCCGUCGUGAAGAGGGAAACAACCCAGACCGCCAGCUAAGGUCCCAAAGUCAUGGUUAAGUGGGAAACGAUGUGGGAAGGCCCAGACAGCCAGGAUGUUGGCUUAGAAGCAGCCAUCAUUUAAAGAAAGCGUAAUAGCUCACUGGUCGAGUCGGCCUGCGCGGAAGAUGUAACGGGGCUAAACCAUGCACCGAAGCUGCGGCAGCGACGCUUAUGCGUUGUUGGGUAGGGGAGCGUUCUGUAAGCCUGUGAAGGUGUGCUGUGAGGUAUGCUGGAGGUAUCAGAAGUGCGAAUGCUGACAUAAGUAACGAUAAAGCGGGUGAAAAGCCCGCUCGCCGGAAGACCAAGGGUUCCUGUCCAACGUUAAUCGGGGCAGGGUGAGUCGACCCCUAAGGCGAGGCCGAAAGGCGUAGUCGAUGGGAAACAGGUUAAUAUUCCUGUACUUGGUGUUACUGCGAAGGGGGGACGGAGAAGGCUAUGUUGGCCGGGCGACGGUUGUCCCGGUUUAAGCGUGUAGGCUGGUUUUCCAGGCAAAUCCGGAAAAUCAAGGCCGAGGCGUGAUGACGAGGCACUACGGUGCUGAAGCAACAAAUGCCCUGCUUCCAGGAAAAGCCUCUAAGCAUCAGGUAACAUCAAAUCGUACCCCAAACCGACACAGGUGGUCAGGUAGAGAAUACCAAGGCGCUUGAGAGAACUCGGGUGAAGGAACUAGGCAAAAUGGUGCCGUAACUUCGGGAGAAGGCACGCUGAUACGUAGGUGAAGCGACUUGCUCGUGGAGCUGAAAUCAGUCGAAGAUACCAGCUGGCUGCAACUGUUUAUUAAAAACACAGCACUGUGCAAACACGAAAGUGGACGUAUACGGUGUGACGCCUGCCCGGUGCCGGAAGGUUAAUUGAUGGGGUUAGCGCAAGCGAAGCUCUUGAUCGAAGCCCCGGUAAACGGCGGCCGUAACUAUAACGGUCCUAAGGUAGCGAAAUUCCUUGUCGGGUAAGUUCCGACCUGCACGAAUGGCGUAAUGAUGGCCAGGCUGUCUCCACCCGAGACUCAGUGAAAUUGAACUCGCUGUGAAGAUGCAGUGUACCCGCGGCAAGACGGAAAGACCCCGUGAACCUUUACUAUAGCUUGACACUGAACAUUGAGCCUUGAUGUGUAGGAUAGGUGGGAGGCUUUGAAGUGUGGACGCCAGUCUGCAUGGAGCCGACCUUGAAAUACCACCCUUUAAUGUUUGAUGUUCUAACGUGGACCCGUGAUCCGGGUUGCGGACAGUGUCUGGUGGGUAGUUUGACUGGGGCGGUCUCCUCCUAAAGAGUAACGGAGGAGCACGAAGGUUGGCUAAUCCUGGUCGGACAUCAGGAGGUUAGUGCAAUGGCAUAAGCCAGCUUGACUGCGAGCGUGACGGCGCGAGCAGGUGCGAAAGCAGGUCAUAGUGAU